GCCGUGGAAAGAUGCAAGCAAGAAGCCGUUUUUGCAGCGGACGGCUUCGGCGUGCAGCGGAUGAUAUAUGGCUUGGUAUUCAUUAGCCUCGAAAACGGUAUCCCCAUUCACCCUUCCCUCAAAAACCAGGUUUUCUGGCGACCUGCUUUGGUAGCCAGCCAGGUGAAUCUUCAAUGCGACGGUACUAGUUUGGAGGAUCCUGGUUUUCCUGAUACCUACAUGGUCAUGUACAACAUCCGACCAGAAUCUGUCACUUUCGGCCUGAGCUGCAACAAAUCUUGCCCCGAGAAGAACAUCACCAAGUUCAAGGAUGCUCUUGAGCAAGCCC
Molecule: long non-coding RNA, 328 nt
Organism: Ixodes scapularis (black-legged tick)
Lineage: Eukaryota; Metazoa; Arthropoda; Arachnida; Ixodida; Ixodidae
Exons: 3
Source: RefSeq, a predicted model, not a curated record